GUCCAUCUGACGAGUCUCAGAUAAAACGAAACGUGCGUCCUGGAU
Molecule: non-coding RNA, 45 nt
Filed under: Schistosoma curassoni
Lineage: Eukaryota; Metazoa; Platyhelminthes; Trematoda; Strigeidida; Schistosomatidae
Source: RNAcentral